UCCAUCUAGAUGAUCCCAUAAGUGUCAGGAUGUAGUGCAAAUAGGCAGGAAUAUGAUGGUCCAGUAAAGUUGGAAAUAGAAUUGAAAUGCCACAUUGAUUAAGGUCGAGAACUAAUAAUUUGCAUGGUCAAUGACUACCAUCUUUGGAGGGAUCCCAACAUGUCUAGUAUCAGUGUUCCAUCCAGUGCAUAACAAGGAUGAUAUAUAUUCAAUAGCACCAAUCCCUAGUCAUGAGUGCAUUGUACUUCUUCUCGACGACCUUUAACAAGCUCUUCGCCAUGCAUUUCCUGAUCUUUUAUUUGGCAUGGUCUUCUGGCCAGUUCCACAUCUUGACAAGUCUCUCCACCACAGAUGUGGAGGUCGAGAUCCAAUGAGCUGCUCGUUGUUGGAAUUGGAAUCUAAGAGCUCCGCAGCAUAUGAGAUGAGGUCCAUCUUCAGGCCAUUGAAGAUGUCCCCCUUGAUGCAUUUGGAGUACAUCACGGUUGUUCCCAGUUCAAAGUUGCUGCAUGCAUCUUCAAGUACAUGGCACUAUGAGAUCUUCUAGAA
This 546-nucleotide long non-coding RNA is filed under the name Phoenix dactylifera (date palm). RNAcentral's name for it is "long non-coding RNA (PDAC_LNC003990)". Lineage: Eukaryota; Viridiplantae; Streptophyta; Magnoliopsida; Arecales; Arecaceae. The record is from RNAcentral.